GCCUUGUGUAGUUUUCAGAUUUCAUUGUCUUCCAUAGGAAAAUGCUGAAAGUUGAGGAGAUGCAAUUCACAGGGACUGUGACCAUGGCUGUGACCAUAAUCUGGGGCUGUGAAGGUUACACCACCUGUGGUCAGCUUAGUUGCACCAAGAUAAGGGAGCAGUGACAGGCAGCAGUAUAACCAUCAGGUUCCUGGUCUGCUAAGGUACCACGCUGCUGAUAGCUUUGCCCUGCAGGUUCUGCAGCCUACCCAGCGUGACUUCGAGGCUGCAACUCCAGGAAGUUCCAAGAAGUGAGGUCUGUCAGAUGUAUGCUUCUCCAGCAUCCCCUUCCAGCACCACUGUGCCCCACCUGCACAUGAACACUGUGCUUCCCAGGGGCUGCUGCCACCCCACAGACAUUCUCAUGGCAUCAGGAGCUCACAGCCACGUGCGGAGGCUCCCCAAGGCUGUGCUCAGUCUCAGAGUCACAAAUAAGAUGCUGAAGGGCCCUGAGGAGUUGCAGUAUUUCCCUGCCAGCCUUGGCUCGCCCUGCACCACCACCUUUGCUCUGCUGUCAGCUGCAGGCCCUGCUCCUCAGGCUGGCCCACCAGUAUGGGGGAGCCCUCCAGGGACAGAAGGAGGCCUUCAGGAAAGAGGAGAACCACUUCUGCGUUGCAUUGAGAGUCCUUGCAGUGGGACUGCGCUGCCCUCACCGCUGGUACAGCUCCAUGAUCCCCGCCCGGUGCAAACUCCUCCACAGCUCUGCUUCCAGCAGCAUGUCGUGGUUGGCGUAGAACACCAGUGGCUUCUUCUCUGGCUCGUAGUAAUGGUCGGAGAACUGCUCAUAGUUGGCUGUGAUGAACCCGUAGGCACUGACCUAUGGGGUGAUGGGACAGGGGAGGAAGGAUGGUGAUGGGCUCAGGGUGGGAGAUCCCCCCCCAGGCACCAGGCCUCACCUGGUCGCAGGUGUGCAGUGCUGUCAGCAGCAUGAGUGCCCCAGUGCUGGGCAUGUAGAGGUGGCCGUACUGCAUGUCCAGGAGCUCUG
This 1024-nucleotide long non-coding RNA is filed under the name Gallus gallus (chicken). RNAcentral's name for it is "long non-coding RNA NONGGAT003265". The record is from RNAcentral. Lineage: Eukaryota; Metazoa; Chordata; Aves; Galliformes; Phasianidae.